GAUGAACGCUGGCGGCGUGCCUAAUACAUGCAAGUCGAGCGAACGGACGAGAAGCUUGCUUCUCUGAUGUUAGCGGCGGACGGGAGAGUAACACGUGGAUAACCUACCUAUAAGACUGGGAUAAUUUCGGGAAACCGGAGCUGAUACCGGAUAAUAUUUCGAACCGGAUGGUUCAAAAGAGAAAGACGGUCUUGCUGUCACUUAUAGAUGGAUCCGCGCUGCAUUAGCUAGUUGGUAAGGUAACGGCGUACCAAGGCAACGAUGCAUAGCCGACCUGAGAGGGGGAUCGGCCACACUGGAACUGAGACACGGUCCAGACUCCUACUGGAGGCAGCAGUAGGGAAUCUUGCGCAAGGGGCGAAAGCCUGACGGAGCAACGCCGCGUGAGUGAUGAAGGUCUUCGGAUCGUAAAACUCUGUUAUUAGGGAAGAACAUAUGUGUAAGUAACUGUGCACAUCUUGACGUUACCUAAUCAGAAAGCCACGGCUAACUACGUG
This 497-nucleotide ribosomal RNA is filed under the name uncultured bacterium. RNAcentral describes it as "partial 16S ribosomal RNA". It matches the Rfam family "Bacterial small subunit ribosomal RNA", at positions 28 to 507 of the family's 1533-position model. The record is from RNAcentral.